AGCAUUAUAGAACUUGGGGAGCAUGAGAAAUACACGGAGGUGGAAACGCCGGAGUGGCUGGCGGGUAAAGGCAGCGGGCGCAGAUGAAGCGGGCUGGGCGUCCCAGGCGCUGAACCGUCCCGGACAGAAGCCGCAGGGGCUGCACCGGCUGGAAAAAGGAACGCGAGGACAGCGCGCGUGGCGCGGGGUCUGCUCCAGGACGGAAUCCUCUGGGUGGCCUGCAUGAGGGGUUUGCAGGACCCCGGGCCUUUGGGAAGUUCUCUGCUAAACUCCAGUAGAGCCUGAGGAGCAGCGGCUCAUGAAUCUUCUUAAACUUCUGUCAUCAGCGGCUGGGCCAGCUGAAGGUGACCAUGGCACACGAGGGAGAGAAGCCUGCGAGAGGCGGAGAAUUGUGGGGUCGUCCAGGAGGGUCGACAAGGCAAAGAACCUGAAGACCACCCAAAAGGAGUUGAACUUCCUCUCUUUUUAGAAGAAUGGAUUUCUUGGAGUCCAAAAAAUUUAUGGUUCUUCUCUGGAAGAAUUUUAUUUUAAAGAGGCGGCGAUGUAUUGCUUUAGUUG
This 558-nucleotide small RNA is filed under the name Pongo abelii (Sumatran orangutan). RNAcentral describes it as "processed transcript". The record is from RNAcentral. Lineage: Eukaryota; Metazoa; Chordata; Mammalia; Primates; Hominidae.